Molecule: ribosomal RNA, 424 nt
Filed under: Verrucomicrobiota bacterium
Lineage: Bacteria; Pseudomonadati; Verrucomicrobiota
Description: Verrucomicrobia bacterium partial 16S ribosomal RNA
Rfam family: Bacterial small subunit ribosomal RNA
Source: RNAcentral
UGAGGAAUAUUGGUCAAUGGACGCAAGUCUGAACCAGCCAAGUAGCGUGCAGGAUGACGGCCCUAUGGGUUGUAAACUGCUUUUAUGUGGGGAUAAAGUGCGUGACGUGUCAUGCAUUGCAGGUACCACAUGAAUAAGGACCGGCUAAUUCCGUGCCAGCAGCCGCGGUAAUACGGAAGGUCCGGGCGUUAUCCGGAUUUAUUGGGUUUAAAGGGAGCGUAGGCUGUCUAUUAAGCGUGUUGUGAAAUUUACCGGCUCAACCGGUGGCUUGCAGCGCGAACUGGUCGACUUGAGUAUGCAGGAAGUAGGCGGAAUUCAUGGUGUAGCGGUGAAAUGCUUAGAUAUCAUGAAGAACUCCGAUUGCGAAGGCAGCUUACGGGAGCGCAACUGACGCUGAAGCUCGAAGGUGCGGGUAUCGAACAGG